This is a long non-coding RNA of Amphiprion ocellaris (clown anemonefish), 1113 nucleotides long. The record is from Ensembl. Lineage: Eukaryota; Metazoa; Chordata; Actinopteri; Pomacentridae.
UUGAAGGCAUUUAUCAAACUAAUGUUACCUUCUGAUCUCCACAAACUUUACUGUUCAGUGAAGAGAAUCAAAGUUUGUUGAGGAUUUCUAAAAAACCCACAGGUGAAGGUCUGAGAAGAACUCAGAUGGAUGGUCUAAAUGUGAAAUCAAGACUCAUGGUCACAAGUUUUAAGGCUUCUGUUAACCAUAAAGUUCAAACUAACAGAGAAGUACUGAGAAACUUUUAAAAUUUCAGUCCUCAGACUGUCUGAAGGUUCAAACUAACAGAGAUCUACUCAGGAACUUAGAAGAUAUCAGUCCUCAGACUGUCUGAAGGUUCAAACUAACAGAGAAGUACUCAGGAACUGAGAAGAUAUCAGCCCUCAGACUGUGUGAAGGUUCAAACUAACAGAGAUCUACUGUGGGACUUAGAAAAUUUCAGCCCUCAGACUGUGUGAAAGCUCAGGUCCUGAGGACUCGGGAGGUGUGGAGGCUUUGGAAAGUCUUGGAACUGAGGGUUCAACCCUCCAGCACAAAGGCUGAAGUCCAACCUCCUGAGAAAAACGGUCGAGAAAAGAGAAAGUAAAAAAAAAAACUCGAAAACGACAAAAAAUAGAUGAUAAAUGCGCAAAAAAAAGAAGAAUUAGUAUCUGAGCGAGUAGCUCAGGAGGAUAAGAAGAGGACUACCAAGCGGAGGGUCGCAGGUUCAAGACCUGCCAGUGGCAGUUUUCUUUCUUUGUCUUUGUCACACUUUUGAGAAAAUUUAAGAAGUGUCUGGUCUUGAACCAGCGACCUGCAGCUCCAUAGGCAAAUCCUUAACUCACUGAGCUACAGAUCAGAUGAAAAGAAAUAAAUUCGUCGUCCCUUUGGCAUCGAAGUUCCUGAAGUGACCACAUGGGCGGAGCCAAGGCGGAGUCUGGGUGGAGUCAGGGCGGAGAGUAGGCGGGGAGGUGGGUGGCGGCCUCCCCCCUCUACUCCCCCACCUCCCCCCACCGCCCACCACACCUUCCCCCGCCCGACGAGUUCUUCGAGUCUCCACGAGUCCUUCGAGUCUCCACAGGUUUUCCCGAGUUUCUGGAGUUUCCACCAGGUCGGAGGCAGAACAAGUUGUCAUGAAGAGGUGUUGAAAUCGGC